This 7388-nucleotide unclassified non-coding RNA is filed under the name Hevea brasiliensis (rubber tree). The record is from RNAcentral. Lineage: Eukaryota; Viridiplantae; Streptophyta; Magnoliopsida; Malpighiales; Euphorbiaceae.
GGGAAGUGUAAUUAUAUAUAUAUAAAUGCGAAUGCAGGAUUUGAAUAUCUAAUCUCAUGCACUGCCACCGUUGAGCUACUAACCCAACGGCCAAUAAAUUGCUUAAUGAAUUGCUUGUUAUGUACUACUAAAUUAAAACAUCAUGAAUUGAUGAUUAGCUUACAAUUUCUUUUGUUCAGAAGUUGAAAUAACCGAUAGGAAGCCGGCUCUUGACCAAUUCCAAUUACCAAAAAAUGCUUCCUAUCCCAUCCACAAUCACUCUCCUGUAUCAUAAUUACAACAGACGGUUACAGUAGACACAUGGACAAGAAUCCUUCAGACAGAAUCAGGAAUGAUAAAUGGCUCAACAUACACACAUAGAUAUAGACUAUAUACUGUGGUUGCAGUGACCAGGUUACUCCUUGUUUCGAGAAGACGGAUCCUUCCUUGGACCACCAAGAAUACGUGAAAUUUGCAGACCUCUACUAAAUGCUUGGUUGAAUAGCAUACGAGUUUGGAAUUCAGAAACAAAAGGAAACCAGGCGAGGAAUGCAACUGGAGUGAAUAGAAGCAAGCCCAUGACAAUCUCAUAACCACGUGCGAGCGUCCGUACUGAUCCCCAAAAACCAGCACGAUGAACAAGAGGUUUACAAGCUUGUGCAAUCAAAAGCAUACCCCAGCCAGUUGGCAUGAAAGCAAGAAUGCAUACAAUGAUAUCUUGAAUUGUCAUGUGAGGCAAUGCAAUCAAAGUGACCAGAAUGGAGACAAAAGUAAGGAAUAUCAUUCCCUUGAUCAGCCGGAACACAAGCUGGAAGUUUGCACUGAACUUUCGCCUCCCAACAGAUACCGUCUUCAUUACGAACAAUACCAGAAAGAUGACCAGCCAUGAUAUUCCGUAGACCAGAAAACUUUUGGUGUUUUUCGUAAUCUUUAAGUGAUAUACCAGCCCAUACUGAUAGAUAAAGAAUCGUAAAGAUAACAAUAUCUCAGCCACAAUUCCACGUUUUCCAGAAUGACGAAGAUGCUCCUGUUCCUCUUCCCACCAUGAUUCCCAACUCUUUUCUGGAGGUACACCUAUACCCCCUUUGUUACUAAUCCAUUUAUUCCAAUCAGUCCAAUCAUCAACAAUCUUUUGCCACUCAAAACCGGAAGGAUUAAACAGGAAGGGAGCAAAAAGCCAGGUACCAACCAUAAACCACAUAGAUAUGGUAAUCAAAACAUAAGCAACAGCACUUCUAUAAGGCUGACCAAAGAUCUGGUACACAACAAGCAAAAUCAUCAUCUCAAUACCCUUGACAAAGUGGCUGCGGGAAUAAAGCCUAUAGUUUUCAGCAAACUUGGCAUGGAACACCACAAAUCCUCGACCUGUAGGCCUGUAUUUUGCGCCUCCAUGAAGCAAAGUCCUUCCAUAAUAGUGUGUCUUGGUUCCGAGAGAAAAUGUGAAAAAUACAGGUGCAAGUUGCAGUUGCAUUAAUAUAAAUUCACUAAGUGCAGUUCGGAAUCCCCUUUCCAGGCCAAUUUCCAUCAGCAUAGGCAAGGCCAUCAAAUAUCCAAUUUGAACAAAAGCUUGAGAAGCAAGAGCCACCUGUAGAGGUUUAUUAUCUCUAAUUGCUUUCUGAUUAAUUAAACCUUCCUCAAGACCACUCAGAACGAGAUAAAGACGCCCAUAAAGGAACACAUAUACGGUUAGCACAGUUAUCAGAGUACUGAAGUAGAAACCAACUGUGGUGAAAUAGCAAGACAACAUACGGAAAAAGUCAAAGCGGUGUCCCAGCCGAUACAUAUCACGACUCAAAGUCUGCUCACCAUUGCCAUUAGCAAUUUUGGCCUCAAACAUAGAAAUCUGAUUGAGUCCCACAUCCCUCCCCUUCCCGACUUGUAUGUAUUCAUGAUGCGUAACAUUGCCUUCGCGAAGUGUAGAAUUGAAACCUGCAAAUAUGUCUUCACUCAAAUUGAUAACCUUGGAUGCUUUACUAACACCCCCUCUAGUGAGGUGAAAAAGCCGAUCAAACACAUCUGGAUGACCAUAGUGGAACCGAACCUUUAGCGGGUUGGCCAAGAGCCUUUGACCUAUAGUUACAAAGCUGGUCUCCUGAUUUGACAUAAACCAUGCAAGAGAUGAAACACUUCCCGUAAAUAUAUGUUCCCUGAGUCCAAGUAUUGAAGGAUGUCUCACACCAUCAUGCUUUUUAAGAAAUUCUUCCAGCAAAUUCCUCAUUUUUAAAGCUUCUUCCAUGUAGUUAUCCUGGUUCAUAUCUAUUGUUUGCAAGCCUUCUCCACGUGUAAAGAUAAUAGCAUGAUUUUGGUUUUCAGGUUUUCCCUCACCCAAGAUUGCUGGUCCUGGAAGUUUGAUUCGAUAAAUGACCUCAUCCAAAUUCUGUACUGGCUCCAAAGAAUCAAUAGACUUGGGUGAGGCUGCCUUCACAAGAGCAGAAUAGUAAACUUUUUGGUUGCUCUUCUUGGAUUUGUCUUGGCUAGUCACUUCAACCUCAUCAAUAUAUGCCACACGGAGCGAUGGAUAUUUUGUCAUGAGUCUUAAAAUGUCCUGUGCUCGUGCAUGACCAGAUCGCUUAUCAAUACCAUACUGUUGGCACGAUACCACAUAUGUGAAUUUCAUGUCAGCUAAAGCUUGACAACUUGUCAACAGUGACCUUUCUCCCUUCGACUGAUCGUCUGUAUUUAAUUCUAUAGCUUUAUAGCCCUCCAUCAAAUCUUCAUGUUUUGCCAUAUCAAGGAAAGCCUGAAGCUCCAAUGCCUUGCGAUAAUACAUCAUACCUCUUACAGUUCUAGUCAAUGUCUGGCCCCUAUAUGACGCCCAUAGACGAAGAUCUUCUUCUAAUUCCUCUGUUCCUUUCACUCCUUCACUUCUGCUUUUUACUCGCUCAAGAAUGUCUUUGAGUUCUUCUUCACUUCUGCAGUCUACUCGCUCAAGAAAGUUGUUCCAUUCAUCUGGAAAGAUUUUUUGCAAGUAAAAGAGGAUUGAAACACCAUCUUCAUUUGGCACUUCCAAAUCUUUCAAGGAAAAUAGCACCUCCUCCAUGUAGUACGGAGUUAAAACACUACAAGAUAAAAUAAUAAUAUGAGAAAACCAUUGGUUUUUCGUAUUUUUGUAAAUCAAACCACAAGAAAUAGGAGAAUGGAAGAGAUAGAGUUUAGUGACUUAGUCCCUACCCAUUUGUAUACAUUUUUAUAAAUUAGAUCAAAGUUAUAACACUAAUCUUAGUAUGAAGGAAAAGAAGCUCAGCAGAAACACUGUAACCUAGUAUGCAAACCUUUGUAGGAGGAUGAACACCACACAGCUAAGGGUAAAACGUCAGAAUCAGCUCUCUGUUCAUAUGUUUUCUAGGCAUAAAUAUUAUACUGAACAGGGCCUGGCUUGGCUUAUCCACAAAAGGACACAUUAGUCAUCUUACCACAGUCUAAUGUAAUUGUAUGAAAAAUAAUAUACCCAUGAUUAUUUUCCUGUUUCUCAUGUCAUAUUACAAUAGACAGCCUCAGUUUAUAGCAUAACAGGGCAAUAAGGGAUUGUUUAUCUUCAAUACAUAAAUGCCCAAAACUCCAAAAGUACCAUCUUGAUAUUAAGCACAGGAUGGCCCUCCAGGAUAAAGUGUUCACAGUGAAAAACAUGAGAAUUUUAUGUGAUACACUGCACACCGGAGGAUGAAGGCACAAUUAUUUUUGUUUUGGCACGUCGAAAGCAUCAACAUAAAGAACGCUUACGAGAAAGAAAGCAUAUUGCGAACUUUAGGAGCAGCAGGCAUUUCCAUAAACAAAGAAUUUGAGAAGAAAGAAAUGCGCCUCCUAGCUUCUAAGUUCGAUGGCACAUCCAUUGCAGAUUCUUUUGUUGUAAGCAAAAGAUCAAGCCUCUUGAUCUUCUCUUUCCAUGCCUCUGUUACUGGAUCAAUAGGAAACUUGAUAGCUCCAGAAGAUGCAAACAACUGAUAUUGUUGAUCAAGAGAAGUCAUUGCCUCUCCAUAUCCACCAUGCACUGAAUCCACUAAACUCGAUAUAUGAUCCUCCAUCAUUAUGUCUCGUGUCACAACCUCUAGCAUGUCCUGGAAGAGAAUCACAACUUGAUCCCUGUCAUCCUGUUUGUUCUCUAACAAAUAUUUGAUAAGCUUCACAAAAUGGUCAUAGAGGCUAGGAAGAGCGCUCAUCCUGUAUUCGCUUAUCAGGGUACCUUCAUCAAUAUGUUUGUCAACUUCUGAAAAUAUGAAAUCGAUCACCUCUUUCUCACGUUUUCCUUGAACCAAUGCCUUGAUGAUGUUCCUAAAUGAAGCAUAACAUUCACGAACAGCACAAGACAUGUAGCUGCCACCCUCGAUCCUCUUUUUCAGCUCUUUAUCUUUACCAUUACUGUCCUUGGCCAUGUCUAAGGCUAUUGGGAUCUUGCUGGCAAGCAAAAAUGGAGGCCACUGUAUGAGUUCCAAAUCUUGGUCAGCCCAAUAUGGAACAAGCAACAAAUCCAUUUCCCUAUUGCUUAUUAGAUCUUCGUCUCUAAAGCUACUGAUAAUUUUGUUCCACAACUGGGCAAAUCUCGCUGCCUCCUUAUUUUUGCUAGAAGGGAUCACAGCAAAAUUGCGAGACAAACUGGCCUUCAAUCCUUUCUUUUUUGGCUCAUUCUUCUCCUCCGGAAUUAAACGGGCAUUAAAAGCUCCAGGCAACGAUUCGAAACGAGACCUAAGCAUUCCUAAUGUUCGAAUCUCUCCAAGACGUCUGAAUGCGCCAUAGACACCUCCAAAUAAUGUGGAAAAUAUGGCAUACCAAAUCUGGGCAUCCAUAAAAUAUACAAGAAUAAUUGGAGCCCAGAGAGCAAUCACAACUCCAAUAUUGUUCCUUGCACGAGGAAAGAACUCAUGCCACUGGAAAGUAGUAACACGAACAUCCAUAACAGCUUUUGUUGGACCAACUAAAGGCCUUAUCUCUACGUAGUAACUAAAUGCCAACUUCGUAACAAUGAGCAGAACCCAAAACACUGUAUACUUGAAGAGAGACAGUGCACUCUCAUGCAUUCCUCGUCCAACAUAGAGCCGUGGCUGUGACCACCACAUCAUGAGCAUCACAAUCUUAUAGUUUGAGCCCUCAAGGAAUCGACGUAUGAAGGGAAAAAGAAACAGUAUUGCUGCUAGCAUGUUUGGAGACAAGUAGAUCACUACUGCCAAAAUAAACAAGGAAGGCGAGCUUGAAUUACUGCCAAACCAGCCUUUUAUGGUUUGAGCAAACCCUGGAGGAUUCUCCCAAGUAUAAGCAUAAGUAACUGGUAGGACUACCACCCAUGCAGCAGCUGAAAUAACCUUCAGAAUAUAUCUCAACUUGACAUGGAAUGACAUGCUCUGCCGUGCUUUCCAACUAAGGAUUACAUCAAGGACGGCUUGCCCAAGCUUUAAUAUUGCAGCCGUUAUGAAGACACUCAAUACUUUCUUGAAUAUAUCACCAGUAAAGACAGAGCUUAGCUGCCCCGUACCAUUCCAAGCAACAAUAAUCAUAGCCUGUAACCACAGAAUAAAAAAACUCCACAUUCGAUCAAAGCUUCUAAAGACAUGCCAGAAUGUACGUAUCUCAACAAAAUUAACUUUCCCCACCCAUCGAUCUCUAAAAGCUGGUUUAUUCUCCCCAUUUCUAUCUUUUCGGAAUUGUUCAGCAGUCAGGAGAAAGAAAUCAGCAUCUGCACGCAUUGGCCAACCUAACCGAAAGCAAUCAACUGACCAGAAGUAUUCAUUUAAAUCAUCAUAGUUUCUCCAUUGAGAAUGUUUUGACCUUCCUCCUUUACUCUUUUUGGCUUCCUCUGCUAUUGUAUCAUAUAUUGGUUUUACCACUUUCCUCAAAAAAGCCUCAUCUUCACCUCCAUAGGCUGGUUUUAUGUGCUCACCCGUCAUUGGACUGACACUCCCAGCCAACAUUCCAUAUAGUUCAAAUGCCAUGUGAUGAUAUAUAUAGCAAAGGCAUUCUGGCAUGAAUCUCAAGUUUGCUGCUUCUCCCCAUAUAAGAAGAUAUAGACCCAUAUAUAGUAAUUUUCUUUGCUGCACUUCCUGUUGAAUGGUUGGCAACCAAAGGCUACUUUUGCGCCCCAAAUACUUGCACCAUCUUUUGUAGUUCUUAAACAGUCUCUUCAUCACAUCGGUUAGAGCACAGUCAUCCAACUAGACAGGAAAUGUUGAUCAGACAUGAACAUUAGCCCCAAAUAAAGUAAAAAUGUAUAAACCUAAGUAAUAUGAGAAGUAAAAGUACAAAACCUUUGGUUGCUGAUCAGUCUCUGGAAACAGUCGUAUGUGCACAUUUGCAAGCAACAGAAUCAAAUGUUCCCUCUGAUUUGCCACAUUAUCCUUCUGAAAACCAAACAUAGCUUGAAGCCAAUCUAGAAUGUCUUCAUUUAAACUCUUAUUGUGGCCCUUUGGCCACGGUAAACCCCUGGUGUUUCGAAGUGCAGAAACAGUUGCUCGAAUCUCAGGGAAUCUCAUGAUAGCCUGAUUUUGACUAUCAGGAUCAAGAGGAAGAAUAUUGUAAGGUACAUAUAUCUUUGUCUUUUCUUCAACCUUCGUGUGAGCUUCCAGAAUCUCAUCAGGCACAGCCUCCGUCUGGUUGACAGCCUUCAAAACCUCGAAGAGGACAGCAGCAGUUUGAUAUGCUUUUGUAAGUUGGGCACGAUCAGCUUUAUCAGCUGCAUUCUGUAAAGCUUGAAUAUACUUUUGAUAGUAAUCCCGGUAAAAUUUCUGCAUUUCUCGAGCAUCACUCAUUGUCCUUCCUUGCAUUGUAAUUUCAUUUUCCUUUUCCAAACGUUGUAAAAGUGCAGUUUUAAAUUGGCGAACACCACGCCCACUAGAUGUGGGAUCCAAUCUGUGAGCUUUCUCAAAGGCAUAGAACCGACAGAGAUAAGCAACUCUAGGGUUGCUAGCCUCCACUUGGUUAGCCACACGGAGAAUUGGAGCAAUCUCAACCAGCGAAGAAGGCACCACCUCACUGUCCAACAUGGACUCACCCAGAUUACCGGCUGUCUGGGUCCGCUGAAUCCGCCUUAGUGGCGGUUGGUGAUCCGAACCCCUUCUACUUGACAUGUUUAACUCUACCAGUGAUCAGUUUAAAUCCUCCUUGUUUGCCAGGGAGGGAUCAAAAGUUUCAACUUUCAAGAACAAUCUUAAGUUAUGCUCUGCAUGAUCAACCCAUAAACUUCCGUUUCCAAAAACUGACUGCUUUAUGGAACAGAAGAAAAGAAAGAUAGAGAGAAAGUUUCAAAAUUCUCUACAGUGUACAUGUACAUAAACAAAAGAGAUUAAAAGAUGCACAUGGCAGUCCUUAGAGAGAAUGGUUAUAUCAUAGGUGGGAAACUGGGAACUGGGAAAGACACCAAAAGAGGGGGGCAAAUGGCAAUGCAAUAAGCAAGAGGAGAAGAAACCAACAGCAGCAAGGCAGUC